RNAcentral lists this ribosomal RNA (774 nucleotides) under uncultured Neocallimastigales. Its description in RNAcentral is "partial large subunit ribosomal RNA". It matches the Rfam family "Eukaryotic large subunit ribosomal RNA", at positions 24 to 635 of the family's 3401-position model. The record is from RNAcentral. Lineage: Eukaryota; Fungi; Neocallimastigomycota; Neocallimastigomycetes; Neocallimastigales.
AUGUGAUCGUCUCUCGCAUAUCAAUAAGCGGAGGAAAAGAAACUAACAAGGAUUCCCCUAGUAACGGCGAGUGAAGCGGGAAGAGCUCAAAUUUGAAAUCUUAAAGGGUUUCCCUUUACGAAUUGUAGUUUAAAGAAGUGUUUUCUGUUGAGGUUUUGGUAAAAGUUCUUUGGAAUAGGACAUCAUAGAGGGUGAGAAUCCCGUAUUUGACCUUUACCUUCAACUUUGUGAUACACUUUCAAAGAGUCGGAUUGUUUGGGAAUGCAGUCCAAAAUGGGUGGUAAAUUUCAUCUAAAGCUAAAUAUUGGCGAGAGACCGAUAGCGAACAAGUACCGUGAGGGAAAGAUGAAAAGAACUUUGAAAAGAGAGUUAAACAGUACGUGAAAUUGUCAAAAGGGAAGCGUUUGACACCAGUGUUGUUUUUCUGAAAAUCAAUUAAAGAACUGUUUAUGCUAAGUUGUUUAGACUUUAUCAGCUAUCUGUUUAGUUUUGAGCUUUUCUUUAAUGCACUUUUCAGUUAACAAGUCAACAUCAAUUUCUUUUGCUGUAAAAAAGCUUGAGGAAGGUGGCUUGAGAUUCGUCUUAAGUGUUUAUAGCCUCUUGCCUAUGCAGUCGGAGAGAUUGAGGUCUGCAGCGUAGAUCCUUCGGGGCUAAAUGCAUUUGUGCUAAGUUAUAGCAUUUUCAUAGACAACUUGUUGACUAUGAUUUGUCUUGUAGCUUACUCGCUUAUGUUAUUUUACCUACGCUUAGGAUGUUGAUCUACAGAGCGAGAGU